Molecule: non-coding RNA, 4105 nt
Organism: Camellia sinensis
Lineage: Eukaryota; Viridiplantae; Streptophyta; Magnoliopsida; Ericales; Theaceae
Source: RefSeq, a predicted model, not a curated record
CCGAAGGCGAGUGCAACCCCCCCUAUCUCUCUCUCUCUCUCUCGGCGUGCGUGCUCUCGUGCUCUCUUCGUUCUAGUCUGUUUGAGGUAUGUUCUGUGCGCAUUCCCUUGAUCGAUCGGGCCUUUGAGGUGGUUCACUUUUUCUUUUUGAUCGGAAGGUAUUGAGAUACUUCGAAAGGUAUUGAGAUACUUCGGAAAAGAUGGCCAUAACUGGAGGAAGAAGAAAGAUGGAAAGACAGUGAAGGAAGCUCAUGAGAGGCUCAAGGCUGGGAGUGUUGAUGUGCUGCAUUGCUACUAUGCCCAUGGAGAAGAAAAUGAAAAUUUCCAAAGGCGAAGCUAUUGGUUGCUUGAAGAGGAGCGCUUGAACAUUGUUCUUGUCCACUGCUGCGAAGUAAAGGUUAGAAAUUUAUUCUAUUAUUCCUUUGUUUCUUCAUUAUUGAAGAAAUUCACAAUUGAUAAUUGUAUACCGUAUCAGAUGAUUCUUGAGCCAAUAUGUAUUAUACAUAAUGCUGGCUAUUUUAGAAUAACAUCGCUUUCUAACUUUACCACCACUUUUGUUUCAAGGUUUCUUGUGUAUGUAUAACUUCCACGUAUUGGAAUCUUGCUACAAAAUAUAAUCUAAUGUGUUUUGUUGCCCAACUUUUCACAUCCGUGCUAGUUUCUUUUUGGACUAAUGGUCGUUACAAUGAUCAUGUUACUCGUAAGAUUCCCGACUCAGUGGCACUUCUAUGAUCUGGAAAGCUCCUCCAUGGGUUUUAGUACGUUACAUUGUUUUGUUUCUUGUUGGUGCUUAAUGGAUAUUGUUUUGGCCAUGGCUAUUCCCAGAGUACGUAACGUUACAAAUUUUAUUUAUUUAUUUAUUUUUUAAUUUUUUUUCGACAGUAACAAGAUGGUCACUAAUACAUUGUAGGCAUUUUUUGAACUGGAUUGGAAGUGGGAGUCUUCCUUCUUCUAGCUCUUAGAAUCAGUGUGCCAAAGGUUGAUUCUUGGGAUGUAGUUUUGGUGGUAAAACAAAAACCAAAAUUCAUGUUUUGUGUAUUUAAGAAUCUGAUGCAUCUAUCUGCUUUUCUUUUCUUCUGUACUCUUUUUGUUUCCCAUUCAAAUUUUCUGGAGCAAUGCAUGUUUUCUUUGAAGGAUGCAACUUUUUAUUUUACUUGGUUUUGUGAUCUAUAAGUUUUUGAACCAUUAACACCACAACAAAACUAACUAUUUACGGCUUCAACUUUGCGGCACACAUCAAAUGCAUGUUGUAAUUAGUACAUUCUAUGACAUUUUUUUUUGCAAGCCAUUAGUAGUUUUUCAAUAAUGACAUACAUACCAUAUAAGUCGUUAAUUCAUAUAUUUAUGGCAUGUAAAAGCAUGCCGUAAAAAAUCUAUAUUUUCACGACUUAAAAAAUAUGCUGUAAAAUAUUUGCACUUAAAACGACAUACAUUUUAUGUUGUAAAAUAUUAUAACUUUACACGGCAUGCAUUAACAUGUUGUGAAAACUUUUGCAAAAAAAAAAAAAAAUUCGAUUUGAAUUUUUUUUAUGGCAUGCCAAAAUGCAUAUUUUCAUGGCAUACAAAAAUAUGAUAUAAAAUAUUUGCACUUAAAGACGACAUACAAUUCAUGUUGUGAAAUAUUAUAACUUUACACGGCAUACAUUAACAUGUGAAAACUUUUAUUAAAAAAAAUUUCAAGCCAAUUUUUUUUUUCUUUUUUUAUUAUUUAAAAAAGCUAACAAUUUCCAACCAAGCUUCUCACUUUAGAUUUUCCUAAUUGAGGACAACGUAAAAAAUAAUUUAUACAUUAUUUUAUAAUUUAGGGUCUCUUUUAAGGGAGAAUUGCACCCAGUGGGAUUUUGGGAAAAAAAUUACAUGUUCAUGAAAAAGUUUGUAAUUUUAAUGAUUAAUAUUUAUAUGGCUUCUCACUAAUUUGUAAUUAUUAUUUUUUUAAAAUUACCUUGAUUUGAUAUUUUCCCUUAAUUUAAUAAUUUAUUUAUUUUUUACUUUUUAGAUGUGCCUAAUUUGAAUACAACUAAAAAGUAAGGUAUUUGUGAAAAAAAUAUAAUAUAUAUGAAAUGUAUUAAAUUUUAUAUUUUUUUGAAUUGAGUGAUUUUUUUAAAAAAUUAAAAAAUAUUUUUCUUUUAAAUAUAUGUAAAUUAUUUGAAUUUAAAAAGUUAAAAAAAUUAUUUAAAAUAUUUAAAAACUUACAAUAACUAUAAAAAAAAAAAAGACUCAAAAAAAUUAUUUUAGCCCUGUUCACCACUCACACAAACUCCUCUCAUUCUAUCUGUACAUGUUUUUGCCCCAAACCCUCUCUCUCUCUCUCUCUCUCUCUCUCUGCGUGCGAGCUUUCGAGCUCUUUUCUAGCAUUGCCUUGAUUGAUCGCGCGACUUCGCAUGACCUCCCAAUGUAUGUCAUUCACUUUCUCUCCCAAUUGAUAAAUUUUUCUCUGGCUCUAUCAUAUUUUCCCAAAAGCUUCGAAUUCAUCAUUUUAUUUGAAGUUAGGGUUUGGUGAGAGCCAUGAAAACGUAGACUACAAGCCAAAUGCAUUCUCAAUCAAUUGAUCUCAAACCCUAACUGAUCUCUACAAGCUCCUUUGUAUCGAACGAUUCAAUCACUAGACAAGUCAAUUUCAAUGCUUCAGAUGGAGCUGGCUGCUACUCGAAGUUCUCAAGAGAUGAGGAGAUCUGAUGAGUUCACUCACAUCUCGAAUUGACUCAUGAGGGCUUGGCAAGGAAGAAGGCUUUCAUAGUUAUUGGAAUUAAUACUGCUUUUAGUAGUAGGAAGAGGCAUGAUUUGGUUAGACAAACUUGGAUGCCUCAAGGAGAGAGACUUCUUCAAUUGGAACAAGAGAAGGGAAUUAUCAUCUGGUUCAUGAUCGGCCAUAGGGUAAUUUACUUUUAUGUGGUGUGAUGUUCUUUGAUGAGACUAGAAAAAGACAAACUAAAUUACCAUGAAGAUGUUUGUUUGUAUAUCUAAGAACUGCAGAACUAUUUGGCCAAUGAAUCAAUUGGUCAGGUGAACUAAAUCUUAAUUGAUCUGCAUUCCACAUUGGUGUUGGUGGACAAGUACAAGAAGCACUCUCCCGUGGAUUUUGAUGUCAAAUUUAUGUAAAGCUGCACUAGGAAGGAAACUUUGAUCGCUGCUCCAUAUGGUUGAAAUCACGGUUGGUUUGAAUAAGUGCAACAUCUAACAGCAUACUAGAUCGAGCUAUUGAUUCAAAAGAUUCUCAGCAUAAGGACUUCCUCAGGCUGGUGAGGAUGCACAGAGCUUGAGCAUGUUGAAGGGUAUCAUGAAUUGCCUGCAAAAACCAAAAUUUUCUUCUCCACUACUGUUGCAAAAUGGGAUGCUGAUUUCUGUCAAAGUGGAUGAUGAUGUCCAUGUCAAUUUCGGUUGUUGAGUUUGCCGUGGCUUUGCAGGAAGCUGGGUGCUUUUCUGUUGUUCUGGAAUGUGUGCUUUCGAAUCCUUCCAAUUGACACAAAUGAAGGAGCUCGAAGUACAAUCCAGUGCUACAGAUGAGGAGAUCUUCACACAGGUUCUAGGGCUUGAUCAACCUGGUCGUGUUCGAACAUAUGGAUUGGGUCCUUCUCCGACAAAUGUCUUUGGAGGUGGAUUUAGGCAGCCACAAGAGCAGGCUCAUCUCAUUGAGACGCAAGUCCAAGAGCAACUUAACCAACAUAAAGUACAAAUGGAGAUGCAAGUGAAGGAGUGAUGGAUGCUAUGUUUAGUCAGAUGCAAGGUUCAAAUAUCAGAGGAAGAAGAAGAAGAAGAAGAAGAAGAAGAAGAAGAUAGGACAAACUCAAUGUCGGAGGGACUCUUUUUCGUAGAAACAUUUGAAUGAAUCUUUGUUAGGGUACUAGUCUAUCUCUGAUCUUCCACGAUGAUGGCGAAAAUCGGGCAGUGGUGACAUCACUGAUGCAUUUUGCACUAAUAGAUGGGAAUGUAAUUUUUAAUGACACAAUUUUGUUCUAGAAUUGGGCCCUCUUGCAGAUUUUUGAAAAGCAAAGUUCUAGGCUUGUUUCUUAUUUUUGAUUGCACAUUUCUAAAGCAAGGAUUGAAUACACUAUAUAUUUUUAUUUUGAUGAAGUACAUAAUAAAAACACCCAUCAAUUGUAAACAAA